UCGGGAAUUUUGGGCAAUGGGCGAAAGCCUGACCCAGCAACGCCGCGUGAAGGAUGAAGUAUUUCGGUAUGUAAACUUCGAAAGAAUAGGAAGAAUAAAUGACGGUACUAUUUAUAAGGUCCGGCUAACUACGUGCCAGCAGCCGCGGUAAUACGUAGGGACCAAGCGUUGUUCGGAUUUACUGGGCGUAAAGGGCGCGUAGGCGGCAAUUCAAGUCAUCUGUGAAAUCUCCGGGCUUAACUCGGAACGGUCAGAUGAUACUGCUUUGCUAGAGUGCAGAAGGGGCAAUCGGAAUUCUUGGUGUAGCGGUGAAAUGCGUAGAUAUCAAGAGGAACACCUGAGGUGAAGACGGGUUGCUGGGCUGACACUGACGCUGAGGUGCGAAAGCGUGGGGAGCAAACAGGAUUAGAUACCCAAGUAGUCCCUGAGCGGGCUGGCAAGGCGCAU
RNAcentral lists this ribosomal RNA (447 nucleotides) under uncultured bacterium. RNAcentral's name for it is "bacterial SSU rRNA". It matches the Rfam family "Bacterial small subunit ribosomal RNA", at positions 355 to 825 of the family's 1533-position model. The record is from RNAcentral.